AUGUCAGAUGAACUAAACUAUGCAAUUUAUCUUAGCUACAAGGACUUGCCCUCUUGCUUAAAACAAUGCUUCCUGCACUUCUCCCUUAAACCCAAAAAGUCUGAGCUAAGUCUUGGUGAAAUUGUGUCCAUGUGGAUUUGUGAAGGAUUGCUUCAAGGAGGCUCAACUAGUUUGGAAGAAGAAGGGAAAAGGAACUAUAAAGAGCUAAUAUUAAGGAACCUUAUAGAGAUAGAUCCAUCAUUUCCUAGCCAACUUAUCUGCAACAUGCAUGAUGUCAUCCGCUCAUUUGCUCAAUUUAUGGCUAGGGAUGAAACACUAGUAGUUCACAAUGGAGAUACUGCUAAAGAAAACCUUAAAUCAUCCAAUUUUCUUAGACUGUCUGUAGAAACCAAAGGUGUGGGAUCAGAUGAAUUUGAGUGGAUAUAUUUAAGAGAGCAGAAAUUGCUUAGGUCACUAAUAUUAACUGGAAACCUCAAAAGUCAGCCUGGGGAUUCGUUGACUUACUUCCCAAGUCUACGUCUUUUGCAUAUAGAAUCUGCAAAUAUUGCUGCACUAGUUGAAUCUAUGUACCAACUGAAGCACCUGAGAUAUUUGGCAUUAAAGAGGACUGAUGUGUGUAGACUACCAGAGAACAUCCAUGAGAUGAAAUUCCUACAGCAUAUUAACCUUGAAGGUUGUGAAAGUUUUAUGAAAAUUCCUGAUAGUAUUAUCAAGCUGCAAGGGUUGAGAUAUCUUGAUAUGGAUGACACACGUGUAAGUAGUAUUCCUAGGGGUUUCCGAGCUCUUACAAAUUUGACUUCACUAUUUGGGUUUCCAGCCUAUAUUGAUGGUGACUGGUGUAGUCUGGAAGAGUUGGGUUCUCUUUCCCAACUCAAUGAACUUUCAAUACGGAGUCUAGAAAAUGUAUCUAGUGCCUUGUUGUCUGCAAAGGCAAGGCUAAAUGCAAAGAAACAACUUAUCUCUCUUGGUUUGAAAUGUGAUGGUAGAGUGGGAGAUGGGUUGGUCCAAGGAGAAGUCUCUGAGUCUAAGGAGGAGGAGCAAAUAAUUGAGGCGGUGUUUAAUGUGCUCUGUCCUCAUCCUUGCAUAGAACAAAUCAACAUCGAGAGAUAUUUUGGUCGCCGGCUCCCAGGAUGGAUGGCGUGCACAGCUAUGGUGCCUCUCGAGAGCUUGAAGAUUCUAGCCCUCGAACAUCUGCCCUGCUGCACCCAACUCCCAGAUGGCUUGUGCAGGCUCCCGUAUUUGGAGUGGAUAAAAGUGGACGGGGCUCCAGUAAUCAAGUGUAUUGGUCCUGAAUUCGUUCAACAGUACAAUCAGCUGCACCGUCCUUCAUCUCAGUUGGCUGCUACGUUUCCCAGACUCCAGAAGUUGGAACUUCACGGAAUGGAGGAAUGGGAGGAGUGGGUUUGGGAGACGGAAGUGAAAGCUAUGCCCUUAUUGGAGGAACUUUGCAUCAGUGGUUGCAAACUGGGGCGUAUGCCUCCUGGACUUAUGUCUCAUGCAAUGGCUUUGAAGAAGCUAGAAAUAUGGAACGUCCAAGGUCUCCACUCUCUAGAGAAUUUUGUUUCUGUAGUUGAGCUCGACCUGUAUGACAUACCCGAAUUGGGCAAGAUCUCCAAUCUUCCAAAACUACAAAAGCUUCAAAUCAAGUACUGCCCAAAGCUCGAGACACUGAAGGACAUGGAUGCACUCCGGAGACUCGAGCUGAGAGUUUCUCCCUGGGAAUAUCAACUUCCAGUCUACCUGCAAACUGUAAAGCCAAGUCAUUUGCUGCUGACCUGCAACCUAGCAGUACUCACUUUCAUGGCUGAGGGUGAAUCUAGCUCCGAGUGGGGCAAGUUCAAUCAUAUUAAGCAAGUCGAGGCUUAUGCAGAGGAUGGACAGGAUGAGAAGAAAUGGCACGUGCUCUACACAUCUGAAUCCUGCAACAUACAGACAAAUAUUCAUCAGGCCUGGCGCAGUGGUGAAGUCCUCCCCACUUGUGCCAAGAGGUCCUGGGUUCGAACCAGCCUCUCUGCAUUGCACUUUGCAGGGGGUCGAUUGGUGGAAGAAGAGGACUAG
Molecule: ribosomal RNA, 2058 nt
Filed under: Triticum aestivum (bread wheat)
Lineage: Eukaryota; Viridiplantae; Streptophyta; Magnoliopsida; Poales; Poaceae
Description: partial small subunit ribosomal RNA
Source: RNAcentral